RNAcentral lists this ribosomal RNA (549 nucleotides) under Aspergillus lentulus. RNAcentral's name for it is "eukaryotic LSU rRNA". The stretch from base 197 to 350 matches the Rfam family "5.8S ribosomal RNA". The record is from RNAcentral. Lineage: Eukaryota; Fungi; Ascomycota; Eurotiomycetes; Eurotiales; Aspergillaceae.
AAGGAUCAUUACCGAGUGAGGGCCCUCUGGGUCCAACCUCCCACCCGUGUCUAUCGUACCUUGUUGCUUCGGCGGGCCCGCCGUUUCGACGGCCGCCGGGGAGGCCUCGCGCCCCCGGGCCCGCGCCCGCCGAAGACCCCAACAUGAACGCUGUUCUGAAAGUAUGCAGUCUGAGUUGAUUAUCAUAAUCAGUUAAAACUUUCAACAACGGAUCUCUUGGUUCCGGCAUCGAUGAAGAACGCAGCGAAAUGCGAUAAGUAAUGUGAAUUGCAGAAUUCAGUGAAUCAUCGAGUCUUUGAACGCACAUUGCGCCCCCUGGUAUUCCGGGGGGCAUGCCUGUCCGAGCGUCAUUGCUGCCCUCAAGCACGGCUUGUGUGUUGGGCCCCGUCCCCUCCCCCGGGGACGGGCCCGAAAGGCAGCGGCGGCACCGCGUCCGGUCCUCGAGCGUAUGGGGCUUUGUCACCCGCUCUGUAGGCCCGGCCGGCGCCAGCCGACACCCAACUUUAUUUUUCUAAGGUUGACCUCGAUCAGGUAGGGAUACCCGCUGAA